Odocoileus virginianus texanus is the source of this 398-nucleotide non-coding RNA. Lineage: Eukaryota; Metazoa; Chordata; Mammalia; Artiodactyla; Cervidae. The record is from RefSeq and is a predicted model, not a curated record.
UAAGAAGCAACUUUCUUUGGACAUUACCUCCAACAGGUGUGCGGUGGGUCCCCGCCUACAGCAGGUUUGGCCCUUGAAAGCAUCUGUGAAAGAAACAACAAAGAUAGCUGUAUGAUCCCAUUCCCGUGGUCAACUUAAAAAUGAGAGUGACAGCUCCCGGAUUCAUAAGUCAAAUCCUGAACAACGAACCCCUUGUAAGCCUAUUUAAACUCUUUCCGUAACACGCAUUUUACUAAAAGGUCCAUCACCUGGUGCUUGAGCUGAACGAAACCGCUAUCCCCUACUUCAUCUCCUCCAACGAGAAUGAGACAGACAGCAGAAGGCCUGGCUUCAGCGCGCCUCAGCAUCCACAAAGCUCGCUUGGUCUCCACGGCAACCCCGCCAGGGGACUGGCCCUC